Molecule: non-coding RNA, 499 nt
Filed under: Pan troglodytes (chimpanzee)
Lineage: Eukaryota; Metazoa; Chordata; Mammalia; Primates; Hominidae
Source: RNAcentral
GGACUGGCUGCUCAGACUCCACAAUUUAAUGAAAAAUCUCAGAUGAUGACUCAGAAAACCUCUAAUGAUCUGAGGAAUAUAUUAAGGGAUUCCAGAGUCAAAGGCUGAUCAUGGAGGGCAUUGAUGAGGGAAGACUUCAGCACGUUUUUCAGCACCAGGACAAGCAUCAUUGCUCAAGGAGAGCUUGGUUGACAACAGGAAGUUAGAAGGAGUCUGAAUUGUAACAAGUGUGGCAAGAGCACCAAGAUCACUCUGUGUGUGUUCACAGAAAAUGUACCAAAGGUAUUGCAGAUGCAGCAGUGAACAAAUCAAACUAAAAUUUCAGCCUGUACUUCUUAGCAUCUUAUUGUGAUACAUCUGGGAGUCUUUUAUGCCCUGCAAGCCCUUUGACAACAGGGACCUGUCUUAUCCCAUCCUCACUGGAACCACACCUUCUACCCAUUGAAUUCCCAAGUAAUGAUUUCAGAACUCAACUGAUUAAAGAUGACUAUAUUUAUUA